GUGAUCGCUUCAGCAGUAUGUAUACUAAAAUUGGAAUGAUCCAGAGAUUAGCAUGGCCCGUGCAAGGAUGCCACGCAAAUUCAUGAACGUUAAGCUGCGUAG
Chionomys nivalis (European snow vole) is the source of this 102-nucleotide small nuclear RNA. Lineage: Eukaryota; Metazoa; Chordata; Mammalia; Rodentia; Cricetidae. The record is from RefSeq and is a predicted model, not a curated record.